Molecule: ribosomal RNA, 301 nt
Filed under: uncultured bacterium
Lineage: Bacteria
Description: partial 16S ribosomal RNA
Rfam family: Bacterial small subunit ribosomal RNA
Source: RNAcentral
CAGUCGCCGCGGUAAUACGUAGGUGGCAAGCGUUGUCCGGAAUUAUUGGGCGUAAAGGGCUCGCAGGCGGUUUCUUAAGUCUGAUGUGAAAGCCCCCGGCUCAACCGGGGAGGGUCAUUGGAAACUGGGAAACUUGAGUGCAGAGGAGGAGAGUGGAAUUCCACGUGUAGCGGUGAAAUGCGUAGAGAUGUGGAGGAACACCAGUGGCGAAGGCGACUCUCUGGUCUGUAACUGACGCUGAGGAGCGAAAGCGUGGGGAGCGAACAGGAUUAGAUACCCCGGUAGUCCCUGUCUCUUAUAC